This 252-nucleotide ribosomal RNA is filed under the name uncultured bacterium. RNAcentral's name for it is "partial 16S ribosomal RNA". It matches the Rfam family "Bacterial small subunit ribosomal RNA", at positions 524 to 776 of the family's 1533-position model. The record is from RNAcentral.
UACGUAGGGUGCAAGCGUUAAUCGGAAUUACUGGCGUAAAGCGUGCGCAGGCGGUUAUGUAAGACAGGUGUGAAAUCCCCGGGCUCAACCUGGGAACUGCAUCUGUGACUGCAUUGCUGGAGUGCGGCAGAGGGGGAUGGAAUUCCGCGUGUAGCAGUGAAAUGCGUAGAUAUGCGGAGGAACACCGAUGGCGAAGGCAAUCCCCUGGGCCUGCACUGACGCUCAUGCACGAAAGCGUGGGGAGCAAACAGG